CUCCAGCUCAGCCCUCACAGGCCAUGGGCAGGCUGACAUUUUGUGCAGCUCCUCUUUGGCAACCAGGCUUGAAAUAACAGCAAAGGAAGAUCUUUGACCCUGGCUGAUAUUGCAUAUAACUAGAUGCACUUCUGAAAAUGCAGAGUUUUCACUGGCACAAUAUUGGAGAGGAGGAGGCAAGACAGAAAGAAAUUUUUAAUAUGAAAAGGACAGGAAGAAGUAGUUUGUGGCAAACAAGGAAGACAAACCUGAAUCCUUUGCUGCAUCCUUCCUCCUGUUUAAGAAGAUUUGUGAUUCUACAUCUAAAUCCAAAAACUUUCCACGUGGCCCUGCACAGGUCCCCCCACAAGGCAGGACGGUGGCACACGUGGAGCUCUGUGGGAUUGCUCUGCAGCUGCUCAAAAAGCAAAACCAGCACAAGUUCUCAGCUUGCUCCUCCUACUUGGUGA
This 449-nucleotide long non-coding RNA is filed under the name Zonotrichia albicollis (white-throated sparrow). RNAcentral describes it as "lncRNA (ENSZALG00000014721.1)". Lineage: Eukaryota; Metazoa; Chordata; Aves; Passeriformes; Passerellidae. The record is from RNAcentral.